This 753-nucleotide long non-coding RNA is filed under the name Nicotiana tabacum (common tobacco). RNAcentral describes it as "long non-coding RNA (NTAB_LNC008183)". The record is from RNAcentral. Lineage: Eukaryota; Viridiplantae; Streptophyta; Magnoliopsida; Solanales; Solanaceae.
CUACAUGAAAGAGUUGAGUUUAGGCUUAAAACCCUAAUGUUGACUGAAGGAAAAGAGUUCAGUUUAGGGUUUAAAACCCUAAUGCUGACUACAGGAAAGAGUUCAGUUUAGGGUUUAAAACCCUAAUGCUGACUACAGGAAAGAGUUCAGUUUAGGGUUUAAAACCCUAAUGUUGAUUGAAGGAAAAGAGUUCAGUUUAGGGUUUAAAACCCUAAUGCUGACUACAGGAAAGAGUUCAGUUUAGGGUUUAAAACCCCAAUGCUAACUGAAGGGAAAAGUUCAGUUUAGGGUUUAAAACCCUAAUGCUGACUACAGGAAAGAGUUCAGUUUAGGGUUUAAAACCCUAAUGAUGACUAAAGGGAAGAGUUCAGUUUAGGGUUUAAAACCCUAAUCCUGACUAAAGGGAAGAGUUUAGUUUAGUGUUUAAAACCCUAAUGCUGACUAAAGGAAAAGAGUUCAGUUUAGAGUUUAAAACCCUAAUGCUGACUGAAUGGAAAAGAGUUUAGUUUAGGGUUUAAAACCCUAAUGCUGACUGAAGGAAAAGAGUUCAGUUUAGGGUUUAAAACCCCAAUGCUGACUGAAGGAAAGAGUUUAGUUUAGGGUUUAAAACCCUAAUGCUGACUACAGGAGAGAGUUCAGUUUAGGGUAUAAAACCCUAAUGCUGACUAAAGGGAAAAAGUUCAGUUUAGGGUUUAAAACCCUAAUGCUGAUUAAAGGGAAAAAGUUCAGUUUAGGGUUUAAAACCCUAAUGCU